RNAcentral lists this ribosomal RNA (268 nucleotides) under uncultured bacterium. RNAcentral's name for it is "partial 16S ribosomal RNA". It matches the Rfam family "Bacterial small subunit ribosomal RNA", at positions 88 to 354 of the family's 1533-position model. The record is from RNAcentral.
AUGGCGACCGGCGCACGGGUGAGUAACGCGUAUCCAACCCGCCCUUUACUAUGGGACAGCCCGUCGAAAGGCGGAUUAAUACCGUAUGUUGUCAUGUUGAUGCAUAUUUUCAUGACCAAAGGCUUCGGCCGGUAAAGGAUGGGGAUGCGUCUGAUUAGCUUGCCGGCGGGGUAACGGCCCACCGGGGCGACGAUCAGUAGGGGUUCUGAGAGGAAGGUCCCCCACAUUGGAACUGAGACACGGUCCAAACUCCUACGGAAGGCAGCAG